This is a long non-coding RNA of Xenia sp. Carnegie-2017, 250 nucleotides long. RefSeq lists it as uncharacterized. The record is from RefSeq and is a predicted model, not a curated record. The transcript has 3 exons. NCBI's taxonomy places the organism in Eukaryota, Metazoa, Cnidaria, Anthozoa, Malacalcyonacea, Xeniidae.
GUAAAGACAAAAAUAAACUUUAUGUCCAAGAAGAUAAACAACUAAAGGCAUUGGCUGAAGAAAAAAAGAUUGUUCAGAUGCUGCACAAAGAUAUUUCUAAGCUCGAGAAUGAAAUCAAAACCAUCAAUGUUACUUUUGUCACCUCAUUCCUUUCUUAUAAUAUCUCAGCCUCAAAGAUACUCAGACAGGAACCAGAAAGAUUUUUGAAACUGUUAAAGACUUGAUUUUUAUUUAAUAAACUCACGCGUUG